Molecule: ribosomal RNA, 1003 nt
Filed under: Cheiracanthium brevispinum
Lineage: Eukaryota; Metazoa; Arthropoda; Arachnida; Araneae; Cheiracanthiidae
Description: 16S ribosomal RNA
Source: RNAcentral
ACGUAAAUUUUUAAAAAUAAAUAUUUAAUUAAAUUUUAAUAUAAUUAAAACCUUACCGAAAGGUAAAACUUUUAUAAAAAAGAAUUUCUUUUUUCCUUUAGUAUCAGGAAUAAACUAAUUUUAAAUAUAUAAAUUUUUUCUCGAAAAGAAAUGAUCUAUUAUUUUUAACAAUGUUUUUUUCAUAAAACUAAUAUAAUUAAUAAUAGUUACUAAACAUAUACGAAUUUCUUAAUAUCUAGUUUUCUAAAAUUAUAAAAUAUAAUAACAUAUAGUAAAAUAAAUUACUAUAACAAUUUUACAAUAUUAUAUAUUCAACAGAACCAAUAGUAUUCAAACUGUUUAACAACUAUAUUAUUUCAUAUAUUAAUAUUAAUAUUAGAAUCUAUUUAUAUCUAAAUAAUAAUGUUUAUAUAAAUAAAUAAUCAAUUUAAUUAAAUUAACUCGUCUACAAUUGAAUGACUGUUUAUCAAAAACAUCUCUAAUAGAUAUAAUUAUUAGUAAUAUCUGCUCAAUGAAAAUUAAAUAGCCGCAGAAUCUGUGCUAAGGUAGCAUAAUCAUUUGUCUUUUAAAUAAAGACUAGAAUAAAAGAUUUAACAUUUCAACUAAUUUAUCUAAUUUUACAUUUUAAAUUAUUUUAAGUGUAAAAAAACACUUAUUAAGUAGAAAGACAAUAAGACCCCUUUGAAUUUUAUUAAUAUUUAACUGGGGCAGUUAAAAAAUUAAAAUUUUAAUUUAAAUUAUAAAAAAUUGAUCUAUAUCAAUUAAAAAGAUCAAAUUACCAUGGGGAUAACAGCAUAAUAAAUUUCUAAAGAUCAUAUAAAAAAAUUAGAUUAUGACCUCGAUGUUGAAUUAAUAACCUUAAUUAAGCAAAAGUAUUAAAAGGAAGUCUGUUCGACUUUUUAAAAAUUACAUGAUUUGAGUUCAGACCGGUGUAAACCAGGUCGGUUUAUAUCUUCUAUAAUUUUUCUUACAGUACGAAAGGACCCAAGAAGCUAAUAUAAUU